Cynoglossus semilaevis (tongue sole) is the source of this 1516-nucleotide long non-coding RNA. RefSeq lists it as uncharacterized. The transcript is spliced from 3 exons. NCBI's taxonomy places the organism in Eukaryota, Metazoa, Chordata, Actinopteri, Pleuronectiformes, Cynoglossidae. The record is from RefSeq and is a predicted model, not a curated record.
UCACAGGGCCCAAAAGUGAGUGACGAGAAAUCUGUUCAGCUGUUGUGGAAGGUCAGUAAGUUUUUAAUGAAGAUUUGUAAGAAAACCACUGUAUUCAACCAACGCAUUGCUGUCCUUUCUGUCUCUUUAACCCCCCUUGUCUUCUGUUCAUGUCCAAUAAUGGCAUUGAACACUCACACACACACACUGACGCCAAGCCGCCCACACCCACAAAUGUGCAUUUUUGUACACAUCCAUCAUCCAGUUUCACUUUACGUUGGCCAUGUAUAUUCCCAUGAUGCAUCACAGUCCGAGUGUUUAUUUAGCCACCGGCCAAUUAUUCAUGGUCACCUUCAAAGCACAGUCUCGUCCUCUGGGUGGAGUGAUGUGUUUGAAGGGGAGGUGAAGAAGUGUUUUGAUCUUACUUUUUAUGACGAUCAUGUGAAAAUACUUCAUCAUACUGCAUCAACAGUGCAACAGAGUAAUGGAAAAAAAUGUUUUUGGCAUUUAUACACCAAAAAUUUGAAAUGACUGCACGUUAAGGGCAAUUUUUCCACAUAAAGGAAUUUUUAAAUAACAAAAAAGGGAUUCAUAAAUGAGAACUGCCAAAAAAUGUAAUGGAUGGUCCAGUAAUAAUAAUUAAAAAAUAACCAUAAUAUACUUUACAUGUUAUUUUGUACAAUAUGUGUAUAUAAAUAUAUUUAAUUUAAAAAAAAAUAUUUUACUCGAAUAAAGUACAUUCAGUUACGUUCUUAUCUUGACCUUCUGUUUUCUGUUUUCUGGCACUUCAAGUGGUAGUACUUCCUGGGCCGGUGAUGGUUACAAAAUGACGCUGUGUCAAGGCAGACCGUUUAAAACAAACCAGUCUUUUAAACGGUCUGCCGAACUAAACAGUAGCCUGUUUGAGCCGCACGUGUCGCUUCAGUCAGCGUGUUAUUGGAUUUUACGAGAUAGCGCUUUGUUAUUUGCCCUCUAAAUAUGUGCACGAAGACCGUUUGAUUUGAGUUUUAUUUCAUCAAACAUUUUGGGUGUUGCGACUUUUGCCACGUGUGUUUGUGAAGCAGCGGCUUGUAACGAUGACGCAUUUACGAAGACGGCACAAUAUCAUCGAGGGUACAAAUUUAGACGUUGCAUUAUUUAAACGCGCGUACCUGCUCGUGCACGUAUGAUUAAUUAAUUCCCUUCAGAUGUAGCAGCAGACCCAUAUCGCCAUCACCUGUGCCGGUGGACUCCACGACGCCGAGAAGUCCGAAUCAUCUGGUUUCUGUUACGUGAACGACAUCGCCCUGGUCGUUUUAAAGCUGCUCAAGAUAUCGGGGCUGGGAAGGGCAAAUACUACGCGGCCAAAAGAAGAGGUUUAAUGAAGUUGUUCCACUCCUGAUGAUGGGUCCGUUGUCGAAUCCUGUGAGCACAUGUGGUGGUGAGUAUGUGAUCUGUCCAUCUUUACCUGAAAAUGUGUUAAAAUAAAGCUAAGAGUUACUGUUGUAAUUUGACUUGUUUUGAAAUGUGUAUCUAUGGACUUUGUAAAUGUGGAGUG